GUGGGGAAUCUUGCGCAAUGGGCGAAAGCCUGACGCAGCCAUGCCGCGUGGAUGAUGAAGGUCUUAGGAUUGUAAAAUCCUUUCACCGGUGAAGAUAAUGACUGUAGCCGGAGAAGAAGCCCCGGCUAACUUCGUGCCAGCAGCCGCGGUAAUACGAAGGGGGCUAGCGUUGCUCGGAUUUACUGGGCGUAAAGGGCGCGUAGGCGGACAUUUAAGUCAGGGGUGAAAUCCCGGGGCUCAACCUCGGAACUGCCUUUGAUACUGGGUGUCUUUAGUAUGAGAGAGGUGUGUGGAACUCCGAGUGUAGAGGUGAAAUUCGUAGAUAUUCGGAAGAACACCAGUGGCUAAGGCGACACACUGGCUCAUUACUGACGCUGAGGCGCGAAAGCGUGGGGAGCAAACAGGAUUAGAUACCCUUGUAGUCC
Molecule: ribosomal RNA, 425 nt
Filed under: uncultured bacterium
Lineage: Bacteria
Description: partial 16S ribosomal RNA
Rfam family: Bacterial small subunit ribosomal RNA
Source: RNAcentral